UACGGGGGGGGCAAGCGUUGUUCGGAAUUACUGGGCGUAAAGGGCUCGUAGGCGGCCAACUAAGUCGGACGUGAAAUCCCUCAGCUUAACUGGGGAACUGCGUCCGAUACUGGAUGGCUUGAGUUUGGGAGGGGGAUGCGGAAUUCCAGGUGUAGCGGUGAAAUGCGUAGAUAUCUGGAGGAACACCGGUGGCGAAGGCGGCAUCCUGGACCAAUAUUGACGCUGAGGAGCGAAAGCUAGGGGAGCAAACGGG
This 253-nucleotide ribosomal RNA is filed under the name uncultured bacterium. RNAcentral describes it as "partial 16S ribosomal RNA". It matches the Rfam family "Bacterial small subunit ribosomal RNA", at positions 524 to 776 of the family's 1533-position model. The record is from RNAcentral.